GACGAACGCUGGCGGCGUGCUUAACACAUGCAAGUCGAACGGAACGGCCCUGCUUUUGUGGGGUGCUCGAGUUGCGAACGGGUGAGUUACACGUGGGUAACCUGCCCCUGACCUUGGGAUAACCUCAUGAAACUGGGGCUAAUACCGGAUAGGAGCUCCUGCUGCAUGGUGGGGGUUGGAAAGUUUCGGCGGUUGGGGAUGGACUCGCGGCUUAUCAGCUUGCUGGUGGGGUAGUGGAUUACCAAGGCUUUGACGGGUAGCCGGCCUGCGCGGGGGAGCGGCCACGUUGGGACUGAGAUGCGGCACAGACUCGUACGGGAGGGAACAGUGGGGAGUAUUGCACAGUGGGCGGGAGGCUGAUGCGGCCACGCAGCGUGGGGGGUGACGGCCUUCGGGUUGUGAACCGCUUUCGCCUGUGACGAGGCGUGAGUGACGGUACUGGGUGAAGAAGCACCGGCUAACUACGUG
Molecule: ribosomal RNA, 468 nt
Filed under: uncultured bacterium
Lineage: Bacteria
Description: partial 16S ribosomal RNA
Rfam family: Bacterial small subunit ribosomal RNA
Source: RNAcentral